RNAcentral lists this ribosomal RNA (292 nucleotides) under uncultured bacterium. RNAcentral describes it as "partial 16S ribosomal RNA". It matches the Rfam family "Bacterial small subunit ribosomal RNA", at positions 505 to 796 of the family's 1533-position model. The record is from RNAcentral.
GUGUCAGCAGCCGCGGUAAUACGAAGGGGGCGAGCGUUGUUCGGAAUCACUGGGCGUAAAGAGUGCGUAGGCGGCGAUAAAAGUUAGGAGUGAAAGCCCAGGGCUCAACCUUGGAAUUGCUCUUAAAACUAUAUUGCUCGAAUUCGGGAGAGGAUAGCGGAAUUGUCAGUGUAGCAGUGAAAUGCGUAGAUAUUGACAGGAACACCGGUGGCGUAAGCGGCUAUCUGGACCGACAUUGACGCUGAGGCACGAAAGCGUGGGGAUCAAACAGGAUUAGAUACCCGGGUAGUCC